AGAGUUUGAUCCUGGCUCAGGAUAAGUCGUAACAAGGUAACCAUGCUAGAGUUUGAUCCUGGCUCAGGAUAAGUCGUAACAAGGUAACCAUGCUAGAGUUUGAUCCUGGCUCAGGAUAAGUCGUAACAAGGUAACCAUGCUAGAGUUUGAUCCUGGCUCAGAACGUACGCUGGCGGCACGCCUUAUACAUGCAAGUCGAACGAAGUAGCAAUACUUAGUGGCAGACGGGUGAGUAACAUGUGGGUAUCUUCCCUAUGGUGAGGGAUAACACGAGGAAACUUGUGCUAAUACCUCAUAAGUCUUUACGGAGAAAGCUUUAUGCGCCAUUGGAUGAGCCCGCACUUGAUUAGUUUGUUGGUAGGGUAAUGGCCUACCAAGACAUAGAUCAAUAGCUGAUUUGAGAGGAUGAUCAGCCACAUUGGGACUGAGACACGGCCCAAACUCCUACGGGAGGCAGCAGUAAGGAAUCUUGCGCAAUGGAGGAAACUCUGAUGCAGCGAUGCCGCGUGAGUGAAGAAGGCCUUUGGGUUGUAAAGCUCUUUCGCCGGGGAAGAAAAUGACUGUACCGAAUAAGAGUCCAGCUACUUCGUGCAAGCAGCCGCGGUAAUACCAACGGACUAGCGUAGUCGGACUACUGGGCUAAAGAGUCGUAGGUGGCUAAAAAAAGUGGUGGUGAAAUCCCAGAGCUUAACUCUGGAACUGCCAUCAAAACUUUUUAGCUAGAGUGUGAUAGAGGAAAGCAGAAUUUCUAGUGUAGAGGUGAAAUUCGUAGAUAUUAGAAAGAAUACCAAUUGCGAAGGCAGCUUUCUGGAUCAUUACUGACACUGAGGAACGAAAGCAUGGGUAGCGAAGAGGAUUAGAUACCCUCGUAGUCCAUGCCGUAAACGAUGUGUGUUAGACGUUGGAAAUUUAUUUUCAGUGUCGCAGCGAAAGCGAUAAACACACCGCCUGGGGAGUACGACGCAGUAAAACUCAAAUGAAUGGACGGGACCCGCACAGUAUGAGCAUGUGGUUUAAGUCGAAGAUACCCGCAGAAACUUACCAACACUUGACAUGUUCGUCGCGACUCUAAGAGAUUAGAGUUUUCGGUUCGGCCGGACGAAACACAGGUGCUGCAUGGCUGUCGUCAGCUCGUGUCGUGAGAUGUUGGGUUAAGUCCCGCAACGAGCGCAACCCUCACUUUUAGUUGCCAUCAUUUAGUUGGGCACUCUGAAAGAACUGCCAGUGAUAAGCUGGAGGAAGGUGGGGAUGACGUCAAGUCCUCAUGGCCCUUACGUGUUGGGCUACACACGUGCUACAAUGGUAUCUACAAUAGGAAGCAAGAUGGCGACAUCAAGCAAAUCCUAAAAAGAUACCUCAGUUCGGAUUGCACUCUGCAACUCGAGUGCAUGAAGCUGGAAUUACUAGUAAUCGCGGAUCAGCGCGCCGCGGUGAAUACGUUCCCGGGUCUUGUACACACCGCCCGUCACACCAUGGGAGUUGGUUCUACCUUAAGGCAAAGUUUAAAACCUUUGACCACGGUAUAGUCAGCGACUGGGGUGAAGUCGUAACAAGGUAACC
Molecule: ribosomal RNA, 1560 nt
Filed under: uncultured Pelagibacterales bacterium
Lineage: Bacteria; Pseudomonadati; Pseudomonadota; Alphaproteobacteria; Candidatus Pelagibacterales
Description: bacterial SSU rRNA
Rfam family: Bacterial small subunit ribosomal RNA
Source: RNAcentral